AAUCAACGCUGGCGGCGCGCUUAACACAUGCAAGUCGAACGAGAAAGGGGAGCAAUCCCUGAGUACAGUGGCGUACGGGUGAGUAACACGUGGAUGAUCUACCUCUUAGUGGGGAAUACCUCUGGGAAACCGGAGACAAUACCGCAUAAGCCUGUGAGGGGAAAGCAGCAAUGCGCUGAGAGAGGAGUCCGCGGCCGAUUAGCUAGUUGGUAGGGUAAAGGCCUACCAAGGCAAAGAUCGGUAGCCGGCCUGAGAGGGCACACGGCCACACUGGCACUGAAACACGGGCCAGACUCCUACGGGAGGCAGCAGUGGGGAAUCUUGCACAAUGGGGGAAACCCUGAUGCAGCGACGCCGCGUGAGCGAUGAAGCCCUUCGGGUGUAAAGCUCUUUCGACGGGAACGAUGAUGACGGUACCCGGAGAAGAAGCUGCGGCUAACUACGUG
RNAcentral lists this ribosomal RNA (446 nucleotides) under uncultured bacterium. RNAcentral's name for it is "bacterial SSU rRNA". It matches the Rfam family "Bacterial small subunit ribosomal RNA", at positions 32 to 507 of the family's 1533-position model. The record is from RNAcentral.